AGGGUUUGAUUCUGGCUCAGGACGAACGCUGGCGGCGUGCCUAAUACAUGCAAGUCGUACGCUUCUUUUUCCACCGGAGCUUGCUCCACCGGAAAAAGAAGAGUGGCGAACGGGUGAGUAACACGUGGGUAACCUGCCCAUCAGAAGGGGAUAACACUUGGAAACAGGUGCUAAUACCGUAUAACAAUCGAAACCGCAUGGUUUUGAUUUGAAAGGCGCUUUCGGGUGUCGCUGAUGGAUGGACCCGCGGUGCAUUAGCUAGUUGGUGAGGUAACGGCUCACCAAGGCCACGAUGCAUAGCCGACCUGAGAGGGUGAUCGGCCACAUUGGGACUGAGACACGGCCCAA
This 348-nucleotide ribosomal RNA is filed under the name uncultured bacterium. RNAcentral's name for it is "bacterial SSU rRNA". It matches the Rfam family "Bacterial small subunit ribosomal RNA", at positions 8 to 334 of the family's 1533-position model. The record is from RNAcentral.